Long non-coding RNA from Drosophila montana, 426 nucleotides. RefSeq lists it as uncharacterized. The record is from RefSeq and is a predicted model, not a curated record. NCBI's taxonomy places the organism in Eukaryota, Metazoa, Arthropoda, Insecta, Diptera, Drosophilidae. The transcript is spliced from 3 exons.
CUCAGUGAUGGGUUGUCGGAGACAUUGUGCACCAGCAUCACACAAAUCAGCCUGCAGAAAGCGAGGGCAGCUUCAGCAGGUUGGUUGCCAGGCUAGAACUGGGGCUGAGCCACGCAGUGGAAGGGCAGCCUGCAGACGCGAGCAAAAUGGGAAAGAGGCAUCAAGACAUAAACCCUAAAGGACUUGGGCAACAGGAAGGCCAACCCACAUAGAAGACAAGCGCUCAACUCAAGCUAGAACAUUGUUUGCAGCGCGUCAUGCGGCCUCGGUGGCGCAGUUGGCAGCGCGUAAGUCUCAUAAUCUUAAGGUCGUGAGUUCGAGCCUCACCCGGGGCAGCUACUUUUUUUUUUGCCUGCCAUUAUUUUUGUGUGUUUUUAAUUUUUUGCCUGACAACUAGGCAACGGCACCCAGUGCAGAGUUCCGAAU